Molecule: ribosomal RNA, 432 nt
Filed under: uncultured bacterium
Lineage: Bacteria
Description: partial 16S ribosomal RNA
Rfam family: Bacterial small subunit ribosomal RNA
Source: RNAcentral
AACGAACGCUGGCGGCAUGCCUAACACAUGCAAGUCGAACGAGACCUUCGGGUCUAGUGGCGCACGGGUGCGUAACGCGUGGGAACCUGCCCUUAGGUUCGGAAUAACUCCCCGAAAGGGGUGCUAAUACCGGAUAAUGUCUUCGGACCAAAGAUUUAUCGCCUUUGGAUGGGCCCGCGUUGGAUUAGCAAGUUGGUAGGGUAAAAGCCUACCAAGGCGACGAUCCAUAGCUGGUCUGAGAGGAUGAUCAGCCACACUGGGACUGAGACACGGCCCAGACUCCUACGGGAGGCAGCAGUGGGGAAUAUUGGACAAUGGGCGAAAGCCUGAUCCAGCAAUGCCGCGUGAGUGAUGAAGGCCUUAGGGUUGUAAAGCUCUUUUACCCGGGAUGAUAAUGACAGUACCGGGAGAAUAAGCUCCGGCUAACUCCGU